UGCAGCGACUCCCGGGGAGGCGCGCGGCUCAUAACCGCGCCGUUGACGGUUCGACUCCGUCCGCUGCGACCA
RNAcentral lists this transfer RNA (72 nucleotides) under Kofleriaceae bacterium. RNAcentral's name for it is "tRNA-Ile". Lineage: Bacteria; Pseudomonadati; Myxococcota; Haliangiales; Kofleriaceae. The record is from RNAcentral.